UACGAAGGGGGCUAGCGUUGCUCGGAAUCACUGGGCGUAAAGAGUGUGUAGGCGGUGCUCUAAGUUCGGUGUGAAAUCUCCUGGCUUAACUGGGAGGGUGCGCCGGAAACUGGAGUGCUUGAGCGUGGGAGAGGAAAGCGGAAUUCCUGGUGUAGCGGUGAAAUGCGCAGAUAUCAGGAAGAACACCCGUGGCGAAGGCGGCUUUCUGGGACGGUACUGACGCUGAGACGCGAAAGCGUGGGGAGCGAACAGG
RNAcentral lists this ribosomal RNA (253 nucleotides) under uncultured bacterium. RNAcentral's name for it is "partial 16S ribosomal RNA". It matches the Rfam family "Bacterial small subunit ribosomal RNA", at positions 524 to 776 of the family's 1533-position model. The record is from RNAcentral.